CUGGAUGACACGGUAAAACAAACAAAUGAACAGUUGGAAAUGUUGGACUGGAAGUUAGAUAGUGGUAAGGAGCUGGUGGUACCAAUAAACCACCAAGAUGUCUGUCUUAUCAAUUUAAUCAAAUCUGUUUCAGAGCCACUUACAUAAUUGUGUUGAAGGAAGGUACGAUCCGACUACCAACAGUUGCGCCGCGAGCUGAUAGAAGUUCAAGCCCUGCAGAGAGAGCUCUCGUCUCGACUGCGGUCACAGCUGCGGCUCGUUCACAGCAAGUUCGCGCGUCUGAGGCAG
This is a long non-coding RNA of Leptidea sinapis, 288 nucleotides long. RefSeq lists it as uncharacterized. The transcript is spliced from 4 exons. NCBI's taxonomy places the organism in Eukaryota, Metazoa, Arthropoda, Insecta, Lepidoptera, Pieridae. The record is from RefSeq and is a predicted model, not a curated record.